This is a long non-coding RNA of Haplochromis burtoni (Burton's mouthbrooder), 651 nucleotides long. RefSeq lists it as uncharacterized. Lineage: Eukaryota; Metazoa; Chordata; Actinopteri; Cichliformes; Cichlidae. The record is from RefSeq and is a predicted model, not a curated record. The transcript has 3 exons.
GGCACUCGGACUGCUUCCUGCUCGACACUUCACAGCAAAACUCUUAAUCGAGUAUUUAUUCAGUGUGUGUGUGUGUGUGUGUGUGUGUGUGUGUGUGUGUGUGUGUGUGUGUGUGUGUGUGUGUGUUUGAUGGAUUAGAUUGAAUAUACAGCAACAAAGCCUAAGCUGAGUUACUGAGUUCUGCGGCCAACAACACAAACGGAAGGUUUGCAGAGACAGAGGGACUAACUAACGCUACAAAACAGGAGUGUUUACUCUACGUGAUGCAUGUAUGGAACAAGUUCGGUCAGGACAGGGCUGCUUAAACCUACACGGUUGCACAAAUCACACAACAAGUUACCCUGAGGGUUCAGUUCCAGACUCUUAUUUUGAAGACCAAGUGGUACGACUUCCUUUAAACCCCCCUCUCCCUCCCACCUCUGUCGAGCUCAACACUUGGCACAGACAGGACGGAGCUGUGAUUGGAGAAGAUGGGGAGGCAGAGGCUAACCCCAACAGCUGAUCUGAGUCUCAGAUCAACACAGCCCUGCCCUCCAGCACUAUCAGCAGCAGCAGCAACCCCUCAACAGCAACAUUGUACCCAUCAGGUAAAACAUCGGCUACGUUUGCUUUGCCUUGUCGCCACCUCACAACAGUGAUAUAGUAUGAUGC